RNAcentral lists this ribosomal RNA (253 nucleotides) under uncultured bacterium. RNAcentral's name for it is "partial 16S ribosomal RNA". It matches the Rfam family "Bacterial small subunit ribosomal RNA", at positions 524 to 776 of the family's 1533-position model. The record is from RNAcentral.
UACGUAGGGUGCAAGCGUUGUCCGGAAUUAUUGGGCGUAAAGAGCUCGUAGGCGGUCUGUCGCGUCUGCUGUGAAAACCUGGGGCUUAACCCCGGGCCUGCAGUGGGUACGGGCAGACUAGAGUGUGGUAGGGGAGACUGGAAUUCCUGGUGUAGCGGUGAAAUGCGCAGAUAUCAGGAGGAACACCGGUGGCGAAGGCGGGUCUCUGGGCCAUAACUGACGCUGAGGCACGAAGGUCAGGGGAGCAAACGGG